RNAcentral lists this ribosomal RNA (497 nucleotides) under uncultured bacterium. Its description in RNAcentral is "partial 16S ribosomal RNA". It matches the Rfam family "Bacterial small subunit ribosomal RNA", at positions 28 to 507 of the family's 1533-position model. The record is from RNAcentral.
GAUGAACGCUGGCGGCGUGCCUAAUACAUGCAAGUCGAGCGAACAGACGAGGAGCUUGCUCCUCUGACGUUAGCGGCGGACGGGUGAGUAACACGUGGAUAACCUACCUAUAAGACUGGGAUAACUUCGGGAAACCGGAGCUAAUACCGGAUAAUAUAUUCAACCGCAUGGUUCAAUAGUGAAAGACGGCUUUGCUGUCACUUAUAGAUGGAUCCGCGCCGCAUUAGCUAGUUGGUAAGGUAACGGCUUACCAAGGCAACGAUGCGUAGCCGACCUGAGAGGGUGAUCAGCCACACUGGAACUGAGACACGGUCCAGACUCCUACGGGAGGCAGCAGUAGGGAAUCUUCCGCAAUGGGCGAAAGCCUGACGGAGCAACGCCGCGUGAGUGAAGAAGGUCUUCGGGUCGUAAAACUCUGUUAUUAGGGAAGAACAAAUGUGUAAGUAACUAUGCCCGUCUUGACGGUACCUAAUCAAAAAGCCCCGGCUAACUACGUG